RNAcentral lists this ribosomal RNA (758 nucleotides) under Escherichia coli. RNAcentral's name for it is "bacterial SSU rRNA". It matches the Rfam family "Bacterial small subunit ribosomal RNA", at positions 56 to 800 of the family's 1533-position model. The record is from RNAcentral. Lineage: Bacteria; Pseudomonadati; Pseudomonadota; Gammaproteobacteria; Enterobacterales; Enterobacteriaceae.
UGCAGUCGAGCGGUAACAGGAACUCUUGCUGCUUCGCUGACGAUGGCGGACGGGUGAGUAAUGUCUGGGAAACUGCCUGAUGGAGGGGGAUAACUACUGGAAACGGUAACUAAUACCGCAUAACGUCGCAAGACCGGGAGGGGGACCUUCGGGCCUCUUGCCAUCGGAUGUGCCCAGAUGGGAUUAUCUAGUAGGUGGGGUAACGGCUCGCCUAGGCGACGAUCCCUACCUGGACUGAGAGGAUGACCACCCACACUGGAACUGAGACCCGACCCCUACUCCUACGGGAGGCGGCGAGGGGAAUAUUGGACAAUGGGCGCGAUCCUGAUGCGCCCAUGCCGCGUGUAUGAACAACGCCUUCGGGUUGUAUAGUACUUUCAGCGGGGAGGAAGGGAGUAAAGUUAAUACCUUUGCUCAUUGACGUUACCCGCAGAACAAGCACCGGCUAACUCCGUGCCCGCAGCCGCGGUAAUACGGAGGGUGCAAGCGUUAAUCGGAAUUACUGGGCGUAAAGCGCACGCAGGCGGUUUGUUAAAUCAGAUGUGAAAUCCCCGGGCUCAACCUGUGGAACUGCAUCUGAUACUGCUAAAGCUUGAGUCUCGUAGAGGGGGGUAGAAUUCCAGGUGUAGCGGUGCAAAUGAUAUAGAGAUCUGACAGGAAUACCGGUGGCGAACCGCGCUGCCACCUGAUACUAACACUGACGCUGCAGAAUAGCGAAGAGCGUGCAGAGCAAAUCUAGGAUUCCCAUGACUCCUGGC